CAACAGGCUGUGGUAACCCAGGAUGGUCAGACCAAGGUGGAGGGGAACACAGAAGUAGACCUGGAGAAGAGGCAAUAACUCAGUUAGGAAAUGGAGCAUGGAAAAGUGGACCAGAUUAUCCGAUCAGUGAAAUGAUAUUGGAAUUGCAAGAAUGGGGCUGGAAGAAGGACCCUGGAUAUUCGGGGGUGGGACCAUCUCAUGACUGAAAAUGUGGAGCAGAAUGUUGAUCCAAGGGUACCUCAAAGGUACAGAGAAGAAGGAAAAUGCUCUGAAGAUAG
RNAcentral lists this long non-coding RNA (278 nucleotides) under Heterocephalus glaber (naked mole-rat). RNAcentral describes it as "lncRNA (ENSHGLG00000037388.1)". The record is from RNAcentral. Lineage: Eukaryota; Metazoa; Chordata; Mammalia; Rodentia; Bathyergidae.